Molecule: ribosomal RNA, 900 nt
Filed under: uncultured archaeon
Lineage: Archaea
Description: bacterial SSU rRNA
Rfam family: Archaeal small subunit ribosomal RNA
Source: RNAcentral
GUGGCAGCCGCCGCGGUAAAACCAGCACCUCAAGUGGUCAGGAUGAUUAUUGGGCCUAAAGCAUCCGUAGCCGGCUCUGUAAGUUUUCGGUUAAAUCUGUACGCUCAACGUACAGGCUGCCGGGAAUACUGCAGAGCUAGGGAGUGGGAGAGGUAGACGGUACUCGGGAGGAAGUGGUAAAAUGCUUUGAUCUCUCGAUGACCACCUGUGGCGAAGGCGGUCUACCAGAACACGUCCGACGGUGAGGGAUGAAAGCUGGGGGAGCAAACCGGAUUAGAUACCCGGGUAGUCCCAGCUGUAAACUAUGCAAACUAAGUGAUGCAUUGGCUUGUGGCCAAUGCAGUAUUUCAGGGAAGCCGUUAAGUUUGCCGCCUGGGAAGUACGUACGCAAGUAUGAAACUUAAAGGAAUUGGCGGGGGAGCACCACAAGGGGUGAAGCCUGCGGUUCAAUUGGAGUCAACGCCAGAAAUCUUACCCGGAGAGACAGCAGAAUGAAGGUCAAGCUGAAGACUUUACCAGACAAGCUGAGAGGUGGUGCAUGGCCGUCGCCAGCUCGUGCCGUGAGAUGUCCUGUUAAGUCAGGUAACGAGCGAGAUCCCUGCCUCUAGUUGCCACCAUUACUCUCAGGAGUAGUGGGGCGAAUUAGCGGGACCGCCGUAGUUAAUGCGGAGGAAGGAAGGGGCCACGGCAGGUCAGUAUGCCCCGAAACUCUGGGGCCACACGCGGGCUGCAAUGGUAAUGACAAUGGGUUCCAAAUCCGAAAGGAGGAGGUAAUCCCCAAACAUUACCACAGUUAUGACUGAGGGCUGCAACUCGCCCUCACGAAUAUGGAAUCCCUAGUAACUGCGUGUCAUUAUCGCGCGGUGAAUACGUCCCUGCUCCUUGUACACACCGCCCGUC